Molecule: long non-coding RNA, 2095 nt
Filed under: Erythranthe guttata (spotted monkey flower)
Lineage: Eukaryota; Viridiplantae; Streptophyta; Magnoliopsida; Lamiales; Phrymaceae
Description: long non-coding RNA (EGUT_LNC002855)
Source: RNAcentral
CACCUAUAUCCCCACUUGUCUUCUCUUCACCAUCACCACCGAAGCACCACCUCCUCCAUCAGCCAACACCUCAAAAUUCUUCAAGAAAAAAAAUAGAGAAAUCAAAAUGCAAAUCCCCUAUAUAAGCUUCACCCUUGAAUAUGCUAAAAACACCAUAAAAAACACUUGCCCUCUUACGGGAGAUUUGAACUCCUCCCAACUUUAUAUCAAAGCUCUUACCUUCUCCAUUCAACUAGCUUGGUUCAAUCUUGGAGCCACUUCUUGAAGGAGGUAACAUUGUAUCCUUGUGUUCCUCAUUUUCUUCAUCCUCUUUUUCUUUCUCUAAAAACCCUCUUUUCUUUUGAAGGUUUUUCUUUGUUCGGCCAAACACUCUUGAUAGGUAAUAAAUCUCGAAUUUCUUGCUGCAAUCGAAGGGUAUCAUAGUAUGGAAAAGGAUUUUUGAAAUUACCAAAAAGAUUUCUUCACUUUUCGAAAAAUUAGGGCUUUUUGUGUAAAAUCCGAAAUCUUGUGCUAAUCUUGUUAUUUGUGUUCUUGCAUGUCUAAUCCAUGUUAUAAUCUGCGAAUCUAAGCAUUUUGAAUUUUUGGAAUUUUUGGAAAAAGAAAAUGAGUUUUCAAGAUUUUUGGGGUUGCAUGUGUAGAUCCAUGAUUUUUUAGGACUAAUCUGCAAUUUCUUGAAAUUUCAGCAAUUAAAAAUGUUUUCAUCUUUAAUAUCUCAGUAGGUGUAAGUUGAAUUUGAUUAUUUGCUAUUUGGCCUUAGUUUUGGAUUAAUAUUUGUUGGGAAAAUCAUUUUUGGCUUCAACACUACUUGCCGAGUAUUUUAAUUUUUAUAAAUCCGAUUUUUGAGGAAACUGCAAAAUUCUUUUUGCAUCUGUUCAGUUAAUCAGUUAGGCAGCCUAUAAUUAAAUUUGAGAAUUUUUAGAUGCUAUUUGCUAUUAUUUCGAAAUAUUGCUUGUGCAUGUGUCAUAAAUAGAACUUUUGUGUUUUAAUCAUUAUGCCUUGUGUAUUAAUUGUGAGGAUGUGAAUUGAUGGUUAAAAAUCUGCAUCUGAACUAUGUUAAGGGGCUGUAAGAAUUUUAAUUCAUUAAAUGAAUAAAAGUGGGAGAAAUCCCAUAAAUUAAAGUGUGUUUUGGGGCUGCAUGUUGUGUGUGUGUAUGUGUGCCGUGUGUGUGUGUGUGUGAUUUAUAUAAAUAUAUAAUAUGAUAAUAAUGUGAAUUAUGUGUUAUGCUUAAGUGGUUAUAUAUAUAUGUGUGUGUAUGAUAUGUGUGUGAUUGCCGUGUGUAUUAUGUGGAUAAUUGGAUUUAUUUGUAUGCUCGUUGAUUGAUAUUUGUGAUGUCGUAAAGUGGUCAUUUUUAGAGUCUCAUUCGUCUCAUGGUCUUGCAUAAAAAGAAAUUUCAUUUUUACGAAAGGAAAGGUUAAUGGAAUGCUUGGGUUGGAUAAGUCGGGAUACGGGGGGCCGGUAUCCCAACCAUAGUUACUGUAGAUAAAUGGGUGGUUUGAUCCCACCAAAAGAACGGGCUCAGAAUAAUAAGCUUAUCAUCCAAGUAACGAAGUUAAUUUUUCACGGAUCCGAACAUCAGAAAAUGUUUUCAUUCGUGCAUUUGCACGAAACGGGUAAAAUGGUAAAUUUUAGCCUUUGAGUCGAAAAAAAGGGCAAAUUGGUAAUUUUCAGUAUUUGCGUCGAUUUACGUGCUUAAAUGAAAUUUCGUGUUUAUGUGUGUGUGUUCGUUUGCCGACGAAUGGUAAGGUGUGAUGCUUAUGUGUAUAUACUAAUAUAAGUACCUAAAACCAUAUUUUAAAACCUCGUUAUCCAUUCGGAUUUCUUACUGGGCUUAAUAGCUCAUAUAGAUACUUCUUUGAUUGCAGGUAGUAGUAGAAAUCCCGCAUCGGAAUGGACCGAGUAGUGGAUCAGAGUCUUGGCCGAAGCUUUUGGAGGGUCGUACGAGGGGUCUAUAAACUAUGCUUAUUUUAUUUUUGGUGAUGUAAACUAAACAAUUUCCGUAUUUUCGUUUUUCCUUAAACUCUAAUAUUUCCUCGUUAGGGAAAUCAGACUCUUAUCCAAGUUAAGGCCUUAUUUUGAUAAUAAUAUAGUUGGUCCG